GACGAACGCUGGCGGCGUGCUUAACACAUGCAAGUCGAACGGAAAGGCCCUGCUUUUGUGGGGUGCUCGAGUGGCGAACGGGUGAGUAACACGUGAGUAACCUGCCCUUGACUUUGGGAUAACUUCAGGAAACUUGGGCUAAUACCGGAUAGGAGCUCCUGCUGCAGGGUGGGGGUUGGAAAGUUUAGGCGGUUGGGGAUGGACUCGCGGCUUAUCAGCUUGUUGGUGGGGUAGUGGCUUACCAAGGCUUUGACGGGUAGCCGGCCUGAGAGGGUGACCGGGCACAUUGGGACUGAGAUACGGACCAGACGCCUACGUGAGGCAGUAGGGGGGAAUAUUGCACAAUGGGCGGAAGCCUGAUGCGGCAACGCCGCGUGUGGGAUGACGGCCUUCGGGUUGUAAACCGCUUUCGCCUGUGACGAAGCGUGAGUGACGGUAAUGGGUAAAGAAGCACCGGCUAACUACGUG
RNAcentral lists this ribosomal RNA (468 nucleotides) under uncultured bacterium. Its description in RNAcentral is "partial 16S ribosomal RNA". It matches the Rfam family "Bacterial small subunit ribosomal RNA", at positions 28 to 507 of the family's 1533-position model. The record is from RNAcentral.